AUGUAUGGUGCUGUGGAAGACACCACCAGUUCGAUUUAUGGCUUCCUUUCAUUAAUGUCAGACCUCAUAUUUGAAGAUGAUGAAGAGAGUGAAAAAGGUGAAGAAGAGACUCCUUUAAAAGUAAAAGAAGAAGUCCAACCACCAGUCAAGAAGAAAGAGAUUCAGAAAGACAAGGCAGAAAAAGAAGAGAAAACUGAAAAAAAGCCACCAACAAAGGAAAUUCAGAUAGAAAAGCCUGAAAAAGAAGAGAAAAUUGAAAAGAAGCUAUUACCUAAGUGUGAGUAUUUUUAAUUAUUUUUAUGGUAAUUUUCUAUAUAUUAGUAGGAAUGUGGAGAGCUGC
RNAcentral lists this long non-coding RNA (340 nucleotides) under Anolis carolinensis (green anole). RNAcentral describes it as "lncRNA (ENSACAG00000038713.1)". The record is from RNAcentral. Lineage: Eukaryota; Metazoa; Chordata; Lepidosauria; Squamata; Anolidae.